AUGACGUUCUGGCGGAGGGGCCAUCGGGUGUGCUGGCGCGGCAUUGCAGGACCGAACGGACCAUCCCUGAAAUCAUGCAGCGGGCGCGACUUCCUUGACGCCAUCGUCACCGAGUUCGACGGCAUCUUCGCCGAACCCUCCGGCGUGCCACCACCCCGCAGUCGUGACCAUGGCAUCACCCUACUGCCCGGUUCCGCCCCGGUGGCCGUCCGUCCGUAUCACUACCCGGCCGCGCACAAGGACGAGCUGGAGCGUCAGUGCGCCGCCAUGCUCGCCCAGGGCAUCAUCCGAGCGAGUUGUUCCGCAUUCUCAUCGCCGGUACUGCUGGUCCGCAAGCCCGACGGGUCCUGGCGCUUCUGCAUCGACUACCGCGCCCUGAACGCCAUCACCGUCAAGGAUGCGUUUCCGAUCCCGGUGGUGGACGAACUCCUCGACGAGCUCCGGCGCGCUCGUUUCUUCACCAAGCUCGAUUUGCGCUCCGGCUACCACCAGGUGCGGAUGCGUGCGGAGGACAUCCCAAAGACCACCUUCCGUACCCACGACGGCCUCUACGAGUUCCUAGUGAUGCCGUUCGGCCUCUGCAACACGCCGGCGACGUUCCAGGCACUCAUGAACGAUCUGCUGCGGCCGUACCUGUGCCGCUUCAUUCUUGUCUUCUUUGACGACAUCCUCAUUUUUAGCGAGACGUGGGCAGACCAUCUCCUACAUGUGCGCACCGUCUUCACCGUCCUGCACCAGCACCGGCUCUUCGGCAAGCGAUCCAAAUGCGCGUUCGCCGUCGAGUCGAUCUCCUACCUGGGUCACACCAUCUCCGCUGCAGGAGUGGCCAUGGAUCCGGAAAAGGUGCAGGCCGUGGCCGAAUGGCCGCAGCCACGCUCGGCGCGCGCGAUCCGGGGGUUCCUCGGCCUUGCGGGGUACUACCGCAAGUUUGUCAAGGAGUUUGGAGUGGUUGCCGCGCCACUGACGGCCCUCCUUCGCACGGAUGGGUUCUCCUGGUCGCCGGAGGCGGCAGCAGCUUUUACUGCCCUCAAGACGGCGGUCACCACGACUCCUCUCCUCGCGUUGCCGGACUUCACGCGGCCGUUCAUCAUCGAGUGUGACACCUCUACGUACGGCUUCGGGGCCGUCCUUCUUCAGGACCAGCACCCGGUGGCUUUCUUUAGCCGGCCGGCCGCGCCACGUCAUCGUUCGCUGGCAGCAUAUGAACGGGAACUCAUCGGCCUGGUGCUCGCUAUUCGUCAUUGGAGACCAUACCUCUGGGGGCGCCAAUUUGUGGUAAAAACGGAUCACUACAGUCUCAAAUUCUUACUUGACCAGCGUUUGGCAACCAUUCCGCAGCAUCAUUGGGUCGGCAAACUACUGGGGUUCGACUUCACCGUGGAGUACAAGGCCGGUAGUACAAACACGGUGGCGGACGCACUUUCCCGCCGCGACACGGAGGAGACGUCGGUCAUGGCGAUAUCGGGUCCUCGCUUCGACUUCAUCGAUCGCCUCCGGCAAGCUACGUCAACCGAACCGGCGCUCGUCGCGCUGCGUGAGGAUAUCAUGGCGGGUACGCGGCAGCAGCCGUGGUCGCUCUCCGACGGCCUCGUCACUUUCAACGGCCGCCUCUACAUUCCGUCGUCGUCCCCGCUACUCCAGGAGCUCCUCACCGCAGUGCACGACGACGGGCACGAAGGCAUCCUGCGCACCCUGCAUCGUCUCCGCCGCGACUUCCACACACCUAACCUUCGCAAGAUGGUGCAAGAGUACGUCCGCGCCUGCGAUACUUGCUAG
RNAcentral lists this ribosomal RNA (1776 nucleotides) under Triticum aestivum (bread wheat). RNAcentral describes it as "partial small subunit ribosomal RNA". Lineage: Eukaryota; Viridiplantae; Streptophyta; Magnoliopsida; Poales; Poaceae. The record is from RNAcentral.